This 429-nucleotide ribosomal RNA is filed under the name Acidobacteriota bacterium. Its description in RNAcentral is "Acidobacteria bacterium partial 16S ribosomal RNA". It matches the Rfam family "Bacterial small subunit ribosomal RNA", at positions 355 to 776 of the family's 1533-position model. Lineage: Bacteria; Pseudomonadati; Acidobacteriota. The record is from RNAcentral.
UGGGGAAUUUUGGACAAUGGGGGAAACCCUGAUCCAGCCAUCCCGCGUGUGCGAUGAAGGCCUUCGGGUUGUAAAGCACUUUUGGCAGGAAAGAAACGUCAUGGGUUAAUACCCCGUGAAACUGACGGUACCUGCAGAAUAAGCACGGGCUAACUACGUGCCAGCAGCCGCGGUAAUACGUAGGGUGCAAGCGUUAAUCGGAAUUACUGGGCGUAAAGCGUGCGCAGGCGGUUCGGAAAGAAAGAUGUGAAAUCCCAGAGCUCAACUUUGGAACUGCAUUUUUAACUACCGUGCUAGAGUGUGUCAGAGGGAGGUGGAAUUCCGCGUGUAGCAGUGAAAUGCGUAGAUAUGCGGAGGAACACCGAUGGCGAAGGCAGCCUCCUGGGAUAACACUGACGCUCAUGCACGAAAGCGUGGGGAGCAAACAGG